RNAcentral lists this ribosomal RNA (305 nucleotides) under uncultured bacterium. Its description in RNAcentral is "bacterial SSU rRNA". It matches the Rfam family "Bacterial small subunit ribosomal RNA", at positions 333 to 653 of the family's 1533-position model. The record is from RNAcentral.
GAGGCCCUACGGGCGCAGCAGUGGGGAAUAUUGGGCAAUGGGCGCAAGCCUGACCCAGCAACGCCGCGUGAAGGAAGAAGGCUUUCGGGUUGUAAACUUCUUUUCUCAGGGACGAAGAAAGUGACGGUACCUGAGGAAUAAGCCACGGCUAACUACGUGCCAGCAGCCGCGGUAAUACGUAGGUGGCAAGCGUUAUCCGGAUUUACUGGGUGUAAAGGGCGUGUAGGCGGCAAAGCAAGUCAGAUGUGAAAACCACGGGCUCAACCUGUGACCUGCAUUUGAAACUGUUUUUCUUGAGUACUGGG